Molecule: small RNA, 97 nt
Filed under: Klebsiella pneumoniae
Lineage: Bacteria; Pseudomonadati; Pseudomonadota; Gammaproteobacteria; Enterobacterales; Enterobacteriaceae
Description: partial RtT sRNA
Rfam family: RtT RNA
About the family: This family represents a bacterial cis-regulatory element known as RtT RNA. The exact function of RtT is unknown although it is thought that it may be involved in changing the cellular response in relation to amino acid starvation.
Source: RNAcentral
UCAGCAUUUAACUCAGAUGCUGAACGUGAAGGAUAACGUUGCGACAGCAACGGCCCGAAGGGCGAGGCGAAGUCGAGUCAUCCUGCACGACCCACCA